Molecule: long non-coding RNA, 395 nt
Filed under: Ailuropoda melanoleuca (giant panda)
Lineage: Eukaryota; Metazoa; Chordata; Mammalia; Carnivora; Ursidae
Description: lncRNA (ENSAMEG00000026782.1)
Source: RNAcentral
CAGAGCCAGAGCAUAAGGGCAAACGAGGCUUGAGGAACUUGCCAAGCGAGAAGAGGGGAGCCCAUUUUGCCUUCAGAUCCCAGCAGGGCAUGUUUAGGGCCAGGAACAUGAGACAAGGCUAACAGGUCAAGAGUCCUGUGGUAAUUGCAGUGAUGGGGCAGGAGAGACGGGAAAAGUGUGAGUUCUAAGGACAUGUGUGUCUUCCUGGGAUGGUGGUUGUCACGUGAGGGAGGACUGUAUCUUAUCGUCUCAGGAGUCCUUCAUCCACAGGAUAACACAAGCAGACACUGGGCGCAGGAGUCCCUGCUUACACCCUUGGAUGGGAGGGUGCACACACCAGCCUCGAGACGGAUGUUGAGAGAAGGUAAAACGAAAGAUUUGCAGGUGACUCAUAU